RNAcentral lists this ribosomal RNA (253 nucleotides) under uncultured bacterium. RNAcentral's name for it is "partial 16S ribosomal RNA". It matches the Rfam family "Bacterial small subunit ribosomal RNA", at positions 524 to 776 of the family's 1533-position model. The record is from RNAcentral.
UACGUAGGGGGCAAGCGUUGUUCGGAAUUACUGGGCGUAAAGGGCGCGUAGGCGGCACAGCAAGUCGGGAGUGAAAGCCCGGGGCCCAACCCCGGAACUGCUUUCGAAACUGCUGAGCUAGAGUACAGAAGGGGCAACCGGAAUUCCCAGUGUAGCGGUGAAGUGCGUAGAUAUUGGGAAGAACACCUGAGGCGAAGGCGGGUUGCUAGGCUGAUACUGACGCUGAGGCGCGAAAGCCAGGGGAGCAAACGGG